RNAcentral lists this ribosomal RNA (345 nucleotides) under uncultured bacterium. RNAcentral describes it as "bacterial SSU rRNA". It matches the Rfam family "Bacterial small subunit ribosomal RNA", at positions 110 to 441 of the family's 1533-position model. The record is from RNAcentral.
GUAACACGUAUGUAACCUACCCAUAUCAGGGGGAUAGCCUCUCGAAAGAGACGAGUUAAGCCCGCGAUAACACAUCACAGUCACAGCAUUGAUAUAAUGAUCAAAUAUUUAUAGGAUAUGGAUGGGCAUGCGGCAUCCAUUAGCUAGCUUGGUAAGGUAACGGCUUACCAAGGCUACGAUGUUUAGGGGAUCUGAGAGGAUGACCCCCCACACUGGUACUGAGACACGGACCAGACUCCAUACGGGAGGCAGCAGUAAGGAAUAUAGGAUCAAUGGGCGGAAGCCUGAACCAGCCAUGCCGCGUGCAGGAAGACAGGCCCUAUGGGUUGUAAACUGACUUAAUGC